This 73-nucleotide transfer RNA is filed under the name Bilifractor porci. RNAcentral describes it as "tRNA-Ala". It matches the Rfam family "tRNA". Rfam says of the family: Transfer RNA (tRNA) molecules are approximately 80 nucleotides in length. The record is from RNAcentral. Lineage: Bacteria; Bacillati; Bacillota; Clostridia; Lachnospirales; Lachnospiraceae.
GGGGCAUUGGCGCAGCUGGGAGCGCGCCUCCAUGGCAUGGAGGAGGUCAAGGGUUCAAACCCCUUAUGCUCCA